GAUGAACGCUGGCGGCGUGCCUAAUACAUGCAAGUCGAGCGAACAGACGAGGAGCUUGCUCCUCUGACGUUAGCGGCGGACGGGUGAGUAACACGUGGAUAACCUACCUAUAAGACUGGGAUAACUUCGGGAAACCGGAGCUAAUACCGGAUAAUAUAUUGAACCGCAUGGUUCAAUAGUGAAAGACGGUUUUGCUGUCACUUAUAGAUGGAUCCGCGCUGCAUUAGCUAGUUGGUAAGGUAACGGCUUACCAAGGCAACGAUGCGUAGCCGACCUGAGAGGGUGAUCGGCCACAAUGGAACUGAGACACGGUCCAGACUCCUACGGGAGGCAGCAGUAGGGAAUCUUCCGCAAAGGGCGAAAGCCUGACGGAGCAACGCCGCGUGAGUGAUGAAGGUCUUCGGAUCGUAAAACUCUGUUAUUAGGGAAGAACAAAUGUGUAAGUAACUAUGCACGUCUUGACGGUACCUAAUCAGAAAGCCACGGCUAACUACGUG
RNAcentral lists this ribosomal RNA (497 nucleotides) under uncultured bacterium. RNAcentral's name for it is "partial 16S ribosomal RNA". It matches the Rfam family "Bacterial small subunit ribosomal RNA", at positions 28 to 507 of the family's 1533-position model. The record is from RNAcentral.